Molecule: long non-coding RNA, 328 nt
Organism: Mytilus trossulus (common blue mussel)
Lineage: Eukaryota; Metazoa; Mollusca; Bivalvia; Mytilida; Mytilidae
Exons: 3
Source: RefSeq, a predicted model, not a curated record
AAUUUACUAUAUAAAGACCAUUAGAUGCUGUAUGUUUGUAUCAAGAUCUUUGUUUGAUAGAUACAGGACUAACUUUGAAGCAUGAUGAGAGCCUACAUUGGUGUUUGUUUUAUCUUAUUAUGUUUGACAGGAUUGAAGUAUGCUGACGCUGCCAAAAAGUGUUUUAGUAUGGUGGACUGUGGAAUCUUUGCUGGUGGUUGCCGAUCAAUCUGUGUUGAAAAAUUGUGUGUCGGUUCACACGAGUGCGUCGGAAACAUGGAAUGCUGCUGUGGGGGUUGUAUAUUAAAAUAAUCAGAAAAGACAUACAGAACAAGAAGGAUAUUUACCA